RNAcentral lists this ribosomal RNA (213 nucleotides) under uncultured bacterium. RNAcentral's name for it is "partial 16S ribosomal RNA". It matches the Rfam family "Bacterial small subunit ribosomal RNA", at positions 524 to 734 of the family's 1533-position model. The record is from RNAcentral.
UACGUAGGGUGCAAGCGUUAAUCGGAAUUACUGGGCGUAAAGUGUGCGCAGGCGGCAUUGCAAGUCGAGUGUGAAAGCCCCCGGGCUUAACUUGGGAAUUGCGCUCGAAACUACAGUGCUGGAGUGUGGCAGAGGAAGGUGGAAUUCCACGUGUAGCGGUGAAAUGCGUAGAGAUGUGGAGGAACACCGAUGGCGAAGGCAGCCUUCGUGGGC